RNAcentral lists this ribosomal RNA (395 nucleotides) under uncultured bacterium. RNAcentral's name for it is "partial 16S ribosomal RNA". It matches the Rfam family "Bacterial small subunit ribosomal RNA", at positions 523 to 918 of the family's 1533-position model. The record is from RNAcentral.
AUACGUAGGGUGCAAGCGUUAAUCGGAAUUACUGGGCGUAAAGCGUGCGCAGGCGGUUUUGGAAGAUAGAGGCGAAAUCCCCGGGCUCAACCUGGGGACUGCCUUUGUGUGUGUUAGGCUAGAGUACGGCACUGGGGGAUGGAAUUCCGCGUGUAGGCGUGACACGCGUAAGUAUGCGGCGGACAGCCGAUGGCGAAGGCAGCCCCCUGGCGAUGUACUGCCGCUCAUGCACAAAAGCGUGGGAAGCAAACGGAAAUAGAAACCCUGGUAGUCCACGGCCAAAACGCUGUCAACUGGUUAAUGGGUCUUCAUUGACUCAUUAACGGAGCUAACGCGUGAAGUUGACCGCCUGGGGAGGACGGCCGCAAGGUUGAAACUCAAAUGAAUUCACGGGG